Molecule: ribosomal RNA, 324 nt
Filed under: uncultured eukaryote
Lineage: Eukaryota
Description: partial 18S ribosomal RNA
Rfam family: Eukaryotic small subunit ribosomal RNA
Source: RNAcentral
CCCUUAGAUGUUCUGGGCCGCACGCGCGCUACACUGAUGCAUUCAACGAGCACCCGCUGGGCCGAGAGGUCCGGCUAAUCUUUGAACGUGCAUCGUGCUGGGGAUAGAUGAUUGCAAUUAUUCAUCUUCUACGAGGAAUUCCUAGUAAACGCAAGUCAUCAGCUUGCAUUGAUUACGUCCCUGCCCUUUGUACACACCGCCCGUCGCACCUACCGAUUGAAUGGUCCGGUGAAAUUCUCGGACGCGGACUUGCGAUGUUAAUUCGGAGCUUGACUGUGAAAGUUAAUUAAACCUUACCAUUUAGAGGAAGGUGAAGUCGUAACA